GUGCCUAAUACAUGCAAGUCGAGCGAACGGACGAGAAGCUUGCUUCUCUGAUGUUAGCGGCGGACGGGUGAGUAACACGUGGAUAACCUACCUAUAAGACUGGGAUAACUUCGGGAAACCGGAGCUAAUACCGGAUAAUAUUUUGAACCGCAUGGUUCAAAAGUGAAAGACGGUCUUGCUGUCACUUAUAGAUGGAUCCGCGCUGCAUUAGCUAGUUGGUAAGGUAACGGCUUACCAAGGCAACGAUGCAUAGCCGACCUGAGAGGGUGAUCGGCCACACUGGAACUGAGACACGGUCCAGACUCCUACGGGAGGCAGCAGUAGGGAAUCUUCCGCAAUGGGCGAAAGCCUGACGGAGCAACGCCGCGUGAGUGAUGAAGGUCUUCGGAUCGUAAAACUCUGUUAUUAGGGAAGAACAUAUGUGUAAGUAACUGUGCACAUCUUGACGGUACCUAAUCAGAAAGCCACGGCUAACUACGUGCCAGCAGCCGCGGUAAUACGUAGGUGGCAAGCGUUAUCCGGAAUUAUUGGGCGUAAAGCGCGCGUAGGCGGUUUUUUAAGUCUGAUGUGAAAGCCCACGGCUCAACCGUGGAGGGUCAUUGGAAACUGGAAAACUUGAGUGCAGAAGAGGAAAGUGGAAUUCCAUGUGUAGCGGUGAAAUGCGCAGAGAUAUGGAGGAACACCAGUGGCGAAGGCGACUUUCUGGUC
RNAcentral lists this ribosomal RNA (708 nucleotides) under uncultured Staphylococcus sp. RNAcentral describes it as "bacterial SSU rRNA". It matches the Rfam family "Bacterial small subunit ribosomal RNA", at positions 44 to 734 of the family's 1533-position model. The record is from RNAcentral. Lineage: Bacteria; Bacillati; Bacillota; Bacilli; Caryophanales; Staphylococcaceae.